This 500-nucleotide ribosomal RNA is filed under the name uncultured bacterium. RNAcentral's name for it is "partial 16S ribosomal RNA". It matches the Rfam family "Bacterial small subunit ribosomal RNA", at positions 30 to 523 of the family's 1533-position model. The record is from RNAcentral.
AUUGAACGCUGACGGAAUGCUUUACACAUGCAAGUCGAACGGCAGCACGGACUUCGGUCUGGUGGCGAGUGGCGAACGGGUGAGUAAUGUAUCGGAACGUGCCCAGUCGUGGGGGAUAACGUAGUGAAAAUUACGCUAAUACCGCAUACGAUCUAUGGAUGAAAGCGGGGGAUCGCAAGACCUCGCGCGAUUGGAGCUGCCGAUAUCAGAUUAGGUAGUUGGUGGGGGAAAGGCCCACCAAGCCAACGAUCUGUAGCUGGUCUGAGAGGACGACCAGCCACACUGGAACUGAGACACGGUCCAGACUCCUACGGGAGGCAGCAGUGGGGAAUUUUGGACAAUGGGCGAAAGCCUGAUCCAGCCAUUCCGCGUGCAGGAUGAAGGCCCUCGGGUUGUAAACUGCUUUUGUACAGAACGAAAAGGUUUCUACUAAUACUAGGAGCUCAUGACGGUACUGUAAGAAUAAGCACCGGCUAACUACGUGCCAGCAGCCGCGGUAA